RNAcentral lists this small nucleolar RNA (143 nucleotides) under Drosophila willistoni. RNAcentral describes it as "snoRNA:GK26505". The record is from RNAcentral. Lineage: Eukaryota; Metazoa; Arthropoda; Insecta; Diptera; Drosophilidae.
CGGAAAGUUAUCAGGAAGAUGUUGCAACAUUUAUUAAUCCAGUUGUACAUCUUUAAUUGACGUUCCUAGAAUAUAGUUCGGAAUUUUACACUAGUCGCAAAUGAACCAUAGCUUUAUUUGGGUUUCAGUUUGAUUUCGUACAC